This is a regulatory RNA element of Saccharomonospora viridis DSM 43017, 60 nucleotides long. It matches the Rfam family "Actino-pnp RNA". Lineage: Bacteria; Bacillati; Actinomycetota; Actinomycetes; Pseudonocardiales; Pseudonocardiaceae. The record is from Rfam.
GCCGGUCCUCGGUAGUGGUCGCCGGGAACCCGUUCCCGUCGGCUUCGAUCGAUGACCGGC